AGACGACUCAACCCUGGUUGCAGAGAUUAAGAGGGUGAUGGCCAGUGACCUCUCCACACGCUACAGAGGCACCCAAGAUGCUCUCAACAUAGCAUCAGCGUUGGACCCGCGAUUUAAAGAACUGCCCUACCUGGAAAAAGAGGACAGAGAACAGGUCUACACAAAACUGGUUUUUUGAGGCAGAAGUGUCCCACCAGAUGCAAGCAAUGGGAAAUCAGGAGGAAGACGAGGGAAGCUCAAGCACAAAGCUGUCAGGAUUCAAUGAAGAGACCACAGCUCCAAAUGAGUCACCUCCUUGUAAGAAGAAAGCCUUAGAUGCGCUGUUUGGC
This is a long non-coding RNA of Coregonus clupeaformis (lake whitefish), 329 nucleotides long. RefSeq lists it as uncharacterized. The transcript is spliced from 4 exons. NCBI's taxonomy places the organism in Eukaryota, Metazoa, Chordata, Actinopteri, Salmoniformes, Salmonidae. The record is from RefSeq and is a predicted model, not a curated record.